RNAcentral lists this long non-coding RNA (779 nucleotides) under Homo sapiens (human). RNAcentral describes it as "non-protein coding lnc-SSBP2-5:8". The record is from RNAcentral. Lineage: Eukaryota; Metazoa; Chordata; Mammalia; Primates; Hominidae.
AAUCAGCGAGAUUCCGUGGGCGUAGGACCCUCGGAGCCAGGUGUGGGAUAUAGUCUCGUGGUGCGCCGUUUCUUAAGCCGGUCUGAAAAGCGCAAUAUUCGGGUGGGAGUGACCCGAUUUUCCAGUGUAUUUUGGGAUCUCUACUGUGCAGCUCCAGAGAGACGUGAAACAUGUGAACACUCAAGUGAAGCAAAAGCCUUCCAUGAUUACAGUGCUGCAGCAGCUCCCAGUCCAGUGCUAGGAAACAUUCCCCCAGGAGAUGGCAUGCCAGUAGGUCCUGUACCACCAGGGUUCUUUCAGCCUUUUAUGUCACCUCGGUACCCUGGAGGUCCAAGGCCCCCAUUGAGGAUACCUAAUCAGGCACUUGGAGGUGUCCCAGGAAGUCAGCCAUUACUCCCCAGUGGAAUGGAUCCAACUCGACAACAAGGACAUCCAAAUAUGGGUGGGCCAAUGCAGAGAAUGACUCCUCCAAGAGGAAUGGUGCCCUUAGGACCACAGAACUAUGGAGGUGCAAUGAGACCCCCACUGAAUGCUUUAGGUGGCCCUGGAAUGCCUGGAAUGAACAUGGGUCCAGGUGGUGGUAGACCUUGGCCAAACCCAACAAAUGCCAAUUCAAUACCAUACUCCUCAGCAUCUCCUGGGAAUUAUGUAGGUCCUCCAGGAGGUGGAGGGCCACCAGGAACACCCAUCAUGCCUAGUCCAGCAGAUUCAACCAACUCUGGUGAUAACAUGUAUACUUUAAUGAAUGCAGUACCUCCUGGACCUAACAGACCUAAUGU